Molecule: ribosomal RNA, 505 nt
Filed under: uncultured bacterium
Lineage: Bacteria
Description: partial 16S ribosomal RNA
Rfam family: Bacterial small subunit ribosomal RNA
Source: RNAcentral
GACGAACGCUGGCGGCGUGCCUAAUACAUGCAAGUAGAACGCACAGUUUAUACCGUAGCUUGCUACACCAUAGACUGUGAGUUGCGAACGGGUGAGUAACGCGUAGGUAACCUGCCUGGUAGCGGGGGAUAACUAUUGGAAACGAUAGCUAAUACCGCAUAAUAUUGAUUAUUGCAUGAUAAUUGAUUGAAAGAUGCUAUUGCAUCACUACCAGAUGGACCUGCGUUGUAUUAGCUAGUAGGUGAGGUAACGGCUCACCUAGACGACGAUACAUAGCCGACCUGAGAGGGUGAUCGGCCACACUGGGACUGAGACACGGCCCAGACUCCUACGGGAGGCAGCAGUAGGGAAUCUUCGGCAAUGGACGAAAGUCUGACCGAGCAACGCCGCGUGAGUGAAGAAGGUUUUCGGAUCGUAAAGCUCGGUUGUAAGAGAAGAACGGGUGUGAGAGUGGAAAGUUCACACUGUGACGGUAUCUUACCAGAAAGGGACGGCUAACUACGUG